GUCAGGCCCUCGGCCUGGAGUGUAGGGGCUUUGGAAAUGCUGUGCUUCUUCCAAAUUUGGGCCCUGAGUUAGGGAGCGAGAAGCCGGGCGCGGGCCUGAGGGAGGUGUCUGAGAGUCCUUCAUGUGGGGAGGUUGGGAAGAAGAGAGAAAAAACUGGGGAGGGGACGCAGGAGGUAUAAAGGACAAAUCCGGAAAACCGAGGUCGCUCCUGGUCUCUGCAGAAAGGGCCGUGCCCCCUGCAGAGACCAGAAGAACCGAGGUGCCCUUAUCCAGGUGAGGAGCACGGAGACGUUAACAGAAAACCGCCGGGCUGACCAAGGCGGUGACUCACAUUCCUAUUCCUAGUGAUGGGGAUAAGAUCCGGGACCCUGCCCGCCCCCCACUUUGCCUCUUUACUUAAGUACAUGCCCUAGACUCCAGAGAGAACAUAGAUGCCUCUGAUUCCGACAGCGUCUGGGAAUGUGAAAGUCGCUGCCAGCGUUCCUCUUGUCCUCUCUAUGUUCCUGGCAGGAGUCAGACACGGGUCCACUGCAAGACACAUCUCAAGUACUCCAAGUAGUUCCAUUUUAUGUCCCUCUAACUCAGCUUGAGUUUUACCUGUAGAUGUAGAGGUCACAUUCUAAUGUACGACUAGUGCCAAAAACAUAGCUGUGUGUCCAGGAUGAAGAGUGACUGGUGUACUUCUAAGACUUCCUCUGGAAGUGAGGCCUGCCAGGAAAAUUGUUACUUGAGUUUAUUACAGGGAAUAAAACAGAAUGGGAAUAAUUUAAUUCAAAAAAAAACCUGGAGCUGAGCUGCGCCCUCCACAACUAAGAUUGAAAGGACAACAACUUGACUUGGAAAAAAGGCCUGGAAGUACACACUGUUCCCCAAUAAAGUCCUGCUCCCCUUCCCCAAUAAAAUCUUUAAAAAAAAAAAAGUAUAUUUGUUAAACUCAUGUAAUAUACACAUCCCCUAA
Rhinolophus ferrumequinum (greater horseshoe bat) is the source of this 958-nucleotide long non-coding RNA. RefSeq lists it as uncharacterized. The transcript has 4 exons. NCBI's taxonomy places the organism in Eukaryota, Metazoa, Chordata, Mammalia, Chiroptera, Rhinolophidae. The record is from RefSeq and is a predicted model, not a curated record.